This 497-nucleotide ribosomal RNA is filed under the name uncultured bacterium. RNAcentral describes it as "partial 16S ribosomal RNA". It matches the Rfam family "Bacterial small subunit ribosomal RNA", at positions 28 to 507 of the family's 1533-position model. The record is from RNAcentral.
GAUGAACGCUGGCGGCGUGCCUAAUACAUGCAAGUCGAGCGAACAGACGAGGAGCUUGCUCCUCUGACGUUAGCGGCGGACGGGUGAGUAACACGUGGAUAACCUACCUAUAAGACUGGGAUAACUUCGGGAAACCGGAGCUAAUACCGGAUAAUAUAUUGAACCGCAUGGUUCAAUAGUGAAACACGGUUUUGCUGUCACUUAUAGAUGGAUCCGCGCCGCAUUAGCUAGUUGGUAAGGUAACGGCUUACCAAGGCGACGAUGCGUAGCCGACCUGAGAGGGUGAUCGGCCACACUGGAACUGAGACACGGUCCAGACUCCUACGGGAGGCAGCAGUAGGGAAUCUUCCGCAAUGGGCGAAAGCCUGACGGAGCAACGCCGCGUGAGUGAUGAAGGUCUUCGGAUCGUAAAACUCUGUUAUUAGGGAAGAACAAAUGUGUAAGUAACUAUGCACGUCUUGACGGUACCUAAUCAGAAAGCCACGGCUAACUACGUG